This 527-nucleotide ribosomal RNA is filed under the name Serratia marcescens. RNAcentral's name for it is "bacterial SSU rRNA". It matches the Rfam family "Bacterial small subunit ribosomal RNA", at positions 8 to 522 of the family's 1533-position model. The record is from RNAcentral. Lineage: Bacteria; Pseudomonadati; Pseudomonadota; Gammaproteobacteria; Enterobacterales; Yersiniaceae.
AGAGUUUGAUCCUGGCUCAGAUUGAACGCUGGCGGCAGGCUUAACACAUGCAAGUCGAGCGGUAGCACAGGGGAGCUUGCUCCCUGGGUGACGAGCGGCGGACGGGUGAGUAAUGUCUGGGAAACUGCCUGAUGGAGGGGGAUAACUACCUGGAAACGGUAGCUAAUACCGCAUAACGUCGCAAGACCAAAGAGGGGGACCUUCGGGCCUCUUGCCAUCAGAUGUGCCCAGAUGGGAUUAGCUAGUAGGUGGGGUAAUGGCUCACCUAGGCGACGAUCCCUAGCUGGUCUGAGAGGAUGACCAGCCACACUGGAACUGAGACACGGUCCAGACUCCUACGGGAGGCAGCAGUGGGGAAUAUUGCACAAUGGGGCGCAAGCCUGAUGCAGCCAUGCCGCGUGUGUGAAGAAGGCCUUCGGGUUGUAAAGCACUUUCAGCGAGGAGGAAGGUGGUGAGCUUAAUACGUUCAUCAAUUGACGUUACUCGCAGAAGAAGCACCGGCUAACUCCGUGCCAGCAGCCGCGGUA